This 515-nucleotide ribosomal RNA is filed under the name Prioneris thestylis. RNAcentral's name for it is "partial 16S ribosomal RNA". The stretch from base 392 to 515 matches the Rfam family "Bacterial large subunit ribosomal RNA", at positions 2473 to 2597 of the family's 2925-position model. The record is from RNAcentral. Lineage: Eukaryota; Metazoa; Arthropoda; Insecta; Lepidoptera; Pieridae.
GUCUUUUUGGUUAUAAUUUAAAGUUUAAUCUGCCCACUGAAUUAAUUUAAAGGGCUGCAGUAUUUUGACUGUACAAAGGUAGCAUAAUCAUUAGUCUUUUAAUUGAAGACUUGUAUGAAUGAUUUGAUGAAAUAUAAACUGUCUCUUUAUUAUUAGUAGAAUUUAAUUUUUUAGUUAAAAAGCUAAAAUUUUUUUAAAAGACGAGAAGACCCUAUAGAGUUUUAUUUUUGAGUUUUUAAAAAUAUUUUAUAAAAAUUAUAAUUUUUUAAAAAUUUAAAAAUUUUGUUGGGGUGAUGAAAAAAUUUAUUAAACUUUUUUUAAAAAAAAUAAAAACAUUAAUUUAUGAAUUUUUGAUCCAUAAUUUAUGAUUAUAAGAUUAAAUUACCUUAGGGAUAACAGCGUAAUUUUACUUUUUAGUUCAAAUAAAAAUUAAAGUUUGCGACCUCGAUGUUGGAUUAAGAUAAAAUUUAAAUGCAAAAGUUUAAAGUUUUGAUCUGUUCGAUCAUUAAAAUCUU